UUAGUACGGCGAGUGAAGCGGUAAAAGCUCAAAUUUGAAAUCUGGUACUUUCAGUGCCCGAGUUGUAAUUUGUAGAAUUUGUCUUUGAUUAGGUCCUUGUCUAUGUUCCUUGGAACAGGACGUCAUAGAGGGUGAGAAUCCCGUUUGGCGAGGAUACCUUUUCUCUGUAAGACUUUUUCGAAGAGUCGAGUUGUUUGGGAAUGCAGCUCAAAGUGGGUGGUAAAUUCCAUCUAAAGCUAAAUAUUGGCGAGAGACCGAUAGCGAACAAGUACAGUGAUGGAAAGAUGAAAAGAACUUUGAAAAGAGAGUGAAAAAGUACGUGAAAUUGUUGAAAGGGAAGGGCAUUUGAUCAGACAUGGUGUUUUUUGCAUGCACUCGCCUCUCGUGGGCUUGGGCCUCUCAAAAAUUUCACUGGGCCAACAUCAAUUCUGGCAGUAGGAUAAAUCAUUAAGAAUGUAGCUACCUCGGUAGUGUUAUAGCUUAUUGGAAUACUGCUAGCUGGGAUUGAGGACUGCGCUUCGGCAAGGAUGUUGGCAUAAUGGUUAAAUGCCGCCCGUCUUGAAACACGGACCA
This 573-nucleotide ribosomal RNA is filed under the name Hanseniaspora opuntiae. RNAcentral describes it as "eukaryotic LSU rRNA". It matches the Rfam family "Eukaryotic large subunit ribosomal RNA", at positions 80 to 668 of the family's 3401-position model. Lineage: Eukaryota; Fungi; Ascomycota; Saccharomycetes; Saccharomycodales; Saccharomycodaceae. The record is from RNAcentral.